AAAGGGAGACCUAAUUCAGGUAGGAGACGAAAAAAAGUAGUCCCUACCAGGAAUCAAUCCCAAAAGGUCGGAGCGAGGCGAAAUUGGCUUUCAAACUAGGUUCUGGGUUCAAACAAGACCUGAAUCAGGAACAAGGGCUAUUAGCUCAGGUGGUUAGAGCGCACCCCUGAUAAGGGUGAGGUCCCUGGUUCGAGUCCAGGAUGGCCCACCUGCACAGGUGGCAAAAACAAGAGAAGCGAGGAAUCAGCACCUUAUCUUACUUAUAUAGUAAGAGAGAAUGCUGGCUCUGAGUAAAGAGUCCAGAGGAACCUUGAAAACUGCAUAGAGCUAGGUGAAAAAGCCAAAAAAGAAGACCGCAAG
Molecule: transfer RNA, 360 nt
Filed under: uncultured Microcystis sp.
Lineage: Bacteria; Bacillati; Cyanobacteriota; Cyanophyceae; Chroococcales; Microcystaceae
Description: partial 16S-23S ribosomal RNA intergenic spacer
Rfam family: tRNA (bases 135-208)
Source: RNAcentral